CUUCCAUUAAGGUGUUUGAUAAUGAGUCCAUUAACUCAAUAAUCAUUGCAGACCCAAAGGCCUGGUGCUUGUUGACUAAUGGAAUUAUCACUCAUCAUAUGAUGACUUGGAAGUGUCUCUCUAAUGGUGGUUAGGUGAGCCAACCAAAGUUGGGCUUAAUAAUUUGUUGGUUAGAUACACCAAGUAUGAUCAUGUUAAUGGUUGGACCUAAUCGGAUCCUUACAGUGGAGGCCAAAGCCUACUGAUUAGGUUUCUGGGGCAAAAUUAAAAUUACUAGAAAUUAUUUAGAAAAACAAUUGAUUAUGAACCUACCCUUAGAUG
Molecule: long non-coding RNA, 321 nt
Filed under: Elaeis guineensis (African oil palm)
Lineage: Eukaryota; Viridiplantae; Streptophyta; Magnoliopsida; Arecales; Arecaceae
Description: long non-coding RNA (EGUI_LNC081807)
Source: RNAcentral